This 484-nucleotide ribosomal RNA is filed under the name uncultured bacterium. Its description in RNAcentral is "partial 16S ribosomal RNA". It matches the Rfam family "Bacterial small subunit ribosomal RNA", at positions 30 to 507 of the family's 1533-position model. The record is from RNAcentral.
AUUGAACGCUGGCGGCAGGCCUAACACAUGCAAGUCGAGCGGAUGAAGGGAGCUUGCUCCUGGAUUCAGCGGCGGACGGGUGAGUAAUGCCUAGGAAUCUGCCUGGUCGUGGGGGAUGACGUCCGGAUACGGGCGCUAAUCUCGCAUACGUCCUGUGGGAGCAAGUGGGGGAUCUUCGGUCCUCACGCUAUCAUAUGAGCCUAGGUCGGUUUAGCUAGUUGGUGGGGUAACGGCCUACCAAGGCGACGAGCCGAAACUGGUCUGAGAGGAUGACCCGUCACACUGGAACUGAGACACGGUCCAGACUCCGACGGGAGGCAGCAGUGGGGAAUAUUGGACGAUGGGCGAGAGCCUGAUCCAGCCAUGCCGCGUGUGUGAAGAAGGUCUUCGGAUUGGAAAGCGCUGUAAGUUGGGGGGAAGGACAGUAAGUUAAUACCGUGCUGUUUUGACGUUACCAACAGAAUAAGCACCGGCUAACUUCGUG